Molecule: transfer RNA, 75 nt
Filed under: Caudoviricetes sp.
Lineage: Duplodnaviria; Heunggongvirae; Uroviricota; Caudoviricetes
Description: tRNA-Asn
Rfam family: tRNA
About the family: Transfer RNA (tRNA) molecules are approximately 80 nucleotides in length. Their secondary structure includes four short double-helical elements and three loops (D, anti-codon, and T loops).
Source: RNAcentral
GGGGAGGAAGCUUAAGUGGUAUAUAGCUGCGGCCUGUUAAGCCGAAGACAGCGGGUUCGAGUCCCCCCCUCCCCG